CUACCUACGGGGGGCAGAAGUGGGGAAUAUUGGACAAUGGGGGGAACCCUGAUCCAGCGACGCCGCGUGAGUGAAGAAGUAUUUCGGUAUGUAAAGCUCUAUCAGCAGGGAAGAAAGAAAUGACGGUACCUGACUAAGAAGCGCCGGCUAACUACGUGCCAGCAGCCGCGGUAAUACGUAGGGGGCAAGCGUUAUCCGGAUUUACUGGGUGUAAAGGGAGCGUAGACGGCAAUGCAAGUCUGGAGUGAAGGGCGGGGGCCCAACCCCAGGACUGCUCUGGAAACUGUAUAGCUGGAGUGCAGGGG
This 305-nucleotide ribosomal RNA is filed under the name uncultured bacterium. Its description in RNAcentral is "bacterial SSU rRNA". It matches the Rfam family "Bacterial small subunit ribosomal RNA", at positions 335 to 654 of the family's 1533-position model. The record is from RNAcentral.